RNAcentral lists this long non-coding RNA (312 nucleotides) under Androctonus crassicauda. Lineage: Eukaryota; Metazoa; Arthropoda; Arachnida; Scorpiones; Buthidae. The record is from RNAcentral.
UUAAAAACAAAAAUUCCCAUCCUCCCUAAUAUGACGGAAUUUUCCAACAUCAUAACAUUGGCACAUACAGUUGGUGGAGAAAGAUUUGAUGAUUUAUUGUUUGAAGAUAUUGAUGAAUUAUUAGUUGAUAAAGCCCUAAGCAAAGAUGAAAUAAUAGAGGCUGUCUUUGAGACUUCUGAUCUCAAAGAACAUAGUGAUAAAGACGAAGAAGAUCCUGUUUUAAAUGCAAAUUUAAUUAAAGAAGGUCUUGAACUGGCCAAUAAAUUGGGUAAUCAUUUUGUUAAACAUGAUCCUGAUGAGGAACAAGCUGGG